RNAcentral lists this small RNA (2995 nucleotides) under Histoplasma capsulatum var. duboisii H88. Its description in RNAcentral is "Histoplasma capsulatum H88 hypothetical RNA". The record is from RNAcentral. Lineage: Eukaryota; Fungi; Ascomycota; Eurotiomycetes; Onygenales; Ajellomycetaceae.
UGCGAUAUCUCAGUAGUGAUUCACUUUUUAUCUUCAUCUAGUCAUAGUCAUCUCAUUUCAUCUCAUUUGAUUCCAACAGGCAAAGCUUUUCUUUUCCUUUCCUUCCCUGCCCUUUCCUUUUUUAUUUUAAUAAAAUGCAAGAAGAAAAGAAAUCAAGAGUGAAAUAUCAGGGAUAUUCAUUUAUUCUCACUGCAACAAAAUCAAAGAAAAAAUGAGGACAAGACAAGGAAAAACCCAAAUGAGAGAACGAGGAUGAUAACGAAAUUCGCUGCAAAACAUACCACAGACAUGCAAAAUAUAGUGAGUAGAAGGACAAGAGAAAAGACGAAAAAAUUCGUUCAUCCCGCACCCAUCAGCCAAAAUUAUAUAAUAAUAAUUUAUGGAUUCCCUCAUUAUAUAUGUAUGUAUAUAUAUAUUCCCCGGCGGAAACAAAAGAAAUGACCAAGCGAGUCCCAGAUGGUUGUAUCAAAUGAUCCAGAAAGAGAGACAAACACAGAAAAAUUCCCUCCAAAAAACAAAAAAAAAAAACGCCAUUCCUCGCUUUGCAGGCAUCGUUUCCAUUGCCCAACAGAAAUUAUCGCGAAAAAAAAGAAAGAAACAGAAAAUUACAAAAUAAAAAAUGAAUGGAGGCGAAAAGGUAAUAACCAAGAGGGGUGAGGAUUACCGCCAUUUCUCUACCCCAUCUUCCCCAUGUCCAUCCAUUUUUCUUUUACAGAACUAACAAGAUAGCAACCACACAAAUUCAAGGAAAAAAUACAAACGAAAAAUCAGGUAUCAAAGAAAUUCAUCAAUAUUUCUCAUAAUGACCGGCUCCCGCCGUUGCUGUGGGGGCGAUCGCGGGUCCGCUGCACCAGGUGGCACCGGGGGACAUGCGCGGACGACGGAGGAUAUAGACUCUAUCGACAUACGAUUGCCAUUACCGCUAUUAGUUGUAUUGGUAUCGAUACUUUUGUCGAGACGACAGGCAAGAUCACCAGCGACAGUGCGGAGGUGAGAGAAUGGGGUUGUCCAGAACUCAGCAGCACGGGGCGAAAGGACGGAUGGCGUUGCCGGUACGUCUUGCAUGACCAAGUCCAUUUGGUGGACAGCGGUACGGGAUAAGGUGCGAUGGGAAGGGACGGCGGAGUUGUCGUGGCGGGGACGGCGAAGGGAGUGUAUUGUUUGGUAUUUUUCACGGAGAGGGAGGGGACGUGGGGGAAGGUUCCGGCGCUGUUGGCUGGUUGCUGGUGACGAUGAUACUGUUGAGUUUGACGACGAUGUUUGCGGGCUGGUCCAGUUAAAAGGGUUUGCUAACGUGGGUGCAUUGGAGUAUUUUGAAUCGCCCACGGCUGCGUUGAACAGAGGGACUGGGGGACGGGCGGUUUUCGAGGUCGAGGAGUUACCUUGGCCUUUUGAUGUGGUGCUAACUUUCGCAUCUAGAGAUCCAUCAAACCAUUCAGCCGGGGGAGAUCUGGAAGGUCCCCGUUGCUGAACUCGUGUCCGGAAAUCGACCUGCUGACGCCAAGUUGACAAUGGAUCAAUACUCUCUUUCCUUGCGAAAUCCUGUUAUCGAUAACCUCGCAAAGCGGAUAAAGGUCAUCGAGUAUUUCUGAACUGUGAUCCCACGGCACAUGUAUGUACUCGGGCGUAGGGGCGCGGCGCUUUGGAGUCGUGGGCGACUCCGUUCCUACAGGCUGAAAUUCGAAGGCAGAUUUGAAAGAAAUUUCCGAAAGUGCAGUAUCAGGUUCCACCACCGAUUGUCGUUGCACAUCGGGUAAUGUAGCUUUCCAUACCGAGACAACGGUAUCCUGCCUUUGCUCAGCGCUUAUGAAUGGAUUUGCAACCUCCUUUGCAACAUUAAUAACCACGUCAAAUUUUGAGGCCUCUUCACUGCUUGGCUCUAGGUAAAGAUAGAGUCCGCUAUCAUAUAUUAAAAUUGGUCCAUCUGGAUAACCUUUGUCACUACCAUUGCAUGACUCGCGCGAAACUAGGUUAUCCUCUUCCUCAACAAGCUCAUGCAAGGCAUCCCUGCCCGAAAAAACGUGCUGGGCUGAAGGAGAUGGUCGGUCCGGUGCCACACGAUCCUCCCAAGCGCCUGGCAUGGGCCGUUUUGCAGACUGGAACAAUGAACCUGGAAGAGCAAGAGAAGGCUUAGUUGACGUAGUUGGAGAGAGUAUGGAGUUGAGAGACGGUGACGACUCGAUAUGCCGAAGAGCCGGUCGGGUAUUAGGAGUGGGAGGAACAGCCUCUGAAAUGUUCGAAAAGGAUCUGUCAAAUGAUGGCGUUUUUAUUGUAAGAUUCGGGGGUUUGCGUCGUAAACAUCUAGUGUUAGACUGUAUCGGAGAAGCGGGAGCUGAGACAUUAGGUGUUUUUUCUCUGAUUGGAGCCGUGGCUAUUGUUUGGUGAGACGAGAUAGUAGGUAAUUUGAGCGAUAAAUUUUUUAAAUUACGAGCUUUUCUUGUUGGAGACUCCGGCUGACGAAGGUAAGUAGAGAAUGAUUGAUUUGGCUUGAAACGCGACUCUGUCCUUAACUGGGCAGCCGGUCGAUCGCCAUUCGUAAUCCGCGACAUGAGUUUAAGGGAUUGAAGCGGCGUAACAGAAGAUGGUGAUUCUGGUGAAGAGCUUGGAGAAGUGUCUUGAAUGACCGGAGAAUCAAAGGUGGAGAUGGUGGUAGUAGGCGAAGAGUCGGUAGAUUCAGACGCGAUGGAUAAGUUUUCGCGCGGUAGAUAUUGGUAAGGCAUCUGCGGAGGAUUGAGAGCUGUUGAGCUAGUGCUUCGGGGAUGGCUGAGACCAUGCACUAUCGCUGAAGGCUUGACUGGGGCGGUGGAAGUGGCUGAGGUGAUUCAGUUGAUGUUGACGCCAUCGAACCUCCAGCAUCGAGGAGAAUCUUGGGCGCUAAGCGACUUUUUUCACUUCCCUCAUUGUAAUAACCAGUUGAUCCAUCUGCAACAGUAGUGGCAGUAGCGAUUGUAGACAUGAAAGACGGAAAUGGAGGAGACAGGGGAGAAGAUGCUAG